Molecule: long non-coding RNA, 1185 nt
Filed under: Homo sapiens (human)
Lineage: Eukaryota; Metazoa; Chordata; Mammalia; Primates; Hominidae
Description: HSALNT0040580
Source: RNAcentral
GUUGGAUGUUAGAGUUUUGGUUGAUAGCCACUAAAGCUUUUCGAACAGGGAGUAUCACAGCCAGAAUGUGGGUAAGCAUCUACUUAGCUGAGUAGUUAGGAUGAACUGAGUUGGGAAGAGUUAGAAACCAGAUUUAUUUGUGGUUUCUAGCAAUAGUAGUAACCCAAAUUUGUCUAAUAGUGAAAAAUGAAUUAAAAUUUUUGGCUUUCUAAGACAAUGCAGAAAUUGAAAUGGCACAAAUAUGGGAGAGGGACCAACAAAGAAGAGAAGAUGAUUUGUAGGAUGCUGUGGUUUGAAUGUUUGUUCCCUCAAAAACUCAUGUUGAAAUUUAAUCAUCAUUGUAGCAAUAUUAAGAGGUGUGACAUUUAACGGGUAAUUAGGCCAUGAGGACUCCAGCCUCAUGGGUGCAUUCAAUGCCUUAAUAAGAGAGUUUUUAGUCAUGGGCUCUCUUUCUUUUUUCCCUCUUUUCUUCUGUCAUGUUACGACAUAACAAGAAGGCCCUUGCAAGACACCAGUACCUUGAUAUUUGACUUCCAGUCUCCAGAACUUGGAACCUGAACAGUCUGCUGAAGCACCUGAUGUUUGGCCUUCCUGAAUGUCAUGUAAUACGUAUUCAUUUUUUCCAGCUGAAAAUAAAUAGAAUUGGAAAAAAAAGAAAUUAUGUAACGUGAGAGGAAAAAGCCUUUGAAGUGAACUCUUCUGGAAGUUUUAUGUUCAUUGCUAUCCUUUAGCUUUCCCAAAAUGCCCAUAAGCCAAAGAUUUCAUGUGUUAUUUCUGUAAUUUGGUAGUUUUCAUUUAAAUUAUGCAUUAAAAAUGAAUAUUCAUCCUAAAACAAUUGGAAUGAUUAAUUAUCUAAUGAAUUUUUCAUCUCACAGAAGGCAGUGUUUUAUGCCAACACUUACAUGGUUAAGAGGCUUUUAAGUUUCUUAGUUUUUAAAGUUCCUUACUUUUAAGUCAGAAAGACACAUUUAUGUUGUCAGGAAUCAAGCUAAAUUCCUUUAGUCCACAUUUCUAGUUUAGAUUUUCUACUUCUUUCUAGAUUUUAUUUUAAAACCUGCAUUUCAUUCACACCUAUAUUUUCAAGAAAUUAAUUAUAGAAAACUAAUACUAUUUACAAUGAGAAAUGUAUGUGGAAAAAUUAAUGGCAUAAAAAAUCAAGACUUGCUUUGGUUAACAGGUACAAAA